This 783-nucleotide non-coding RNA is filed under the name Orsodacne cerasi. The record is from RNAcentral. Lineage: Eukaryota; Metazoa; Arthropoda; Insecta; Coleoptera; Orsodacnidae.
UUAAAGUUUUAAUUUAACUUAAAAAUUAGGUUAAUUUUUUAUUUACAUGUAAAUUUAAGUAAAUUUUAUUAAUAAUUUAGAUAAAAAUUAAUAAAAAUAUGAUAUUCUCAGUAAAUAGUUUUAAAUUUCAAAGUAAUUUGGAUUUAGGAAUAAAUUUUAAUAUUAACAAAAUUUGUGCCAGCAGUUGCGGUUAUACAAAUAAUAUAAUUUAAUUUAUUUAGUUACAAUUAAUUUUUAAUAAAAGAAAUUUUAAUUAAAAAUUUAUUAGGUGAAAUUUUAAAUUUUUAAUAAAAUUUAUUUAUGUUAAUAAUUUUGAUAAAUUUAAUUUAUAAACUAGGAUUAGAUACCCUAUUAUUUUAAACGUAAAUUUUUAUACUAGAUUAGUAAUAGUUAUAUUCUUGAAAAUUAAAAAUUUUGGCAGUAUUUUAGUCUAUUCAGAGGAACCUGUUCUUUAAUCGAUAGUCCACGAUUUAUUAAACUUUUUUUAUUAGUUUGUAUAUCGUCGUAAUUUUGAAUAUUUUAAAAGAAUUAUAAUAUUCAUAAAUUAUUUAUUAAAAAAAAUCAGAUCAAGGUGCAGUUUAUAAAAAAGUAGAAAUGGGUUACAUUAAAUUUAUUUAAGGAUAUUUUUUUGAAAUAUAAAAUUGAAUUUGGAUUUGAAAGUAAUUUUAAUUAAAUUAUUAAAAUGAUUUUAGCUCUAAAAUAUGUACAUAUUGCCCGUCGCUUUCAUUAUAAAAUGAAAUAAGUCGUAACAAAGUAGGCUUACUGGAAAGUGGGCCUAGAAUG